CUUGGUUCCUGCAAAGAAUUGAAUUAUAACUUUCAUCAUGUUUUCCAUUGGCGAUUUUAGAUCCUUUUAGGGGGGCUCAGGCCAUGUCCAAAGGGCU
Etheostoma spectabile (orangethroat darter) is the source of this 97-nucleotide long non-coding RNA. RefSeq lists it as uncharacterized. The record is from RefSeq and is a predicted model, not a curated record. NCBI's taxonomy places the organism in Eukaryota, Metazoa, Chordata, Actinopteri, Perciformes, Percidae. The transcript is spliced from 3 exons.